This 488-nucleotide long non-coding RNA is filed under the name Carica papaya (papaya). RNAcentral's name for it is "long non-coding RNA (CPAP_LNC010802)". The record is from RNAcentral. Lineage: Eukaryota; Viridiplantae; Streptophyta; Magnoliopsida; Brassicales; Caricaceae.
UUGCAGCAACAAUUUAAGAACUAAUCUUCCAAAUAGAAAUGGUUGUAGCAUAGCAAAGAACUAGAAGGAACAAAUCAGAAGAGGAAGAAAUGACUCACCUCAUCAAGAAGAAACUAUUUCUCUUCUGAUAUGCACACAAAACACGCAUUCUAUUCUGGUGCGUCACUCUCUCCCUCUUUUUCUACUGUUUUCUCCUCUAAACUUCCCCACUCACUCACUUGUUUAACUUGAAUUUUGGGUUUAAAGAAGAUGAAGACGAAGUCAUGAAGAGAAAGAAGCUUUUAACUAAAUUUAACUCAUCAUCCGACUAUCCAAACACAUGCAGGACAUCACAGCAAUUGAUAUGUUGGAAGGCCAACCACAAUUGGCAAAGAUUGCUAGUUUUCAUGACACCUAGCAGGUCAUCACAGCAGCUCACCAUGUGGUUCGAUCCUGGUGAGUUGUGUCAAAUCAAAGGCAACCAAUCUGCCCUUGAGUGCCAAUCAUUU